GAUGAACGCUGGCGGCGUGCCUAAUACAUGCAAGUCGAGCGAACGGACGAGAAGCUUGCUUCUCUGAUGUUAGCGGCGGACGGGUGAGUAACACGUGGAUAACCUACCUAUAAGACUGGGAUAACUUCGUGAAACCGGAGCUAAUACCGGAUAAUAUUUUGAACCGCAUGGUUCAAAAGUGAAAGACGGUCUUGCUGUCACUUAUAGAUGGAUCCGCGCUGCAUUAUCUAGUUGGUAAGGUAACGGCUUACCAAGGCAACGAUGCAUAGCCGACCUGAGAGGGUGAUCGGCCACACUGGAACUGAGACACGGACCAGACGCCGACGGGAGGCAGCAGAAGGGAAUCUUACGCAAUGGGCGAAAGCAUGACGGAGCAACGCCGCGUGAGUGAUGAAGGUCUUCGGAUCGUAAAACUCUGUUAUUAGGGAAGAAAAUAUGUGUAAGUAAAUGUGCACAUCUUGACGGUACCUAAUCAGAAAGCAACGGCUAACUACGUG
RNAcentral lists this ribosomal RNA (497 nucleotides) under uncultured bacterium. Its description in RNAcentral is "partial 16S ribosomal RNA". It matches the Rfam family "Bacterial small subunit ribosomal RNA", at positions 28 to 507 of the family's 1533-position model. The record is from RNAcentral.